RNAcentral lists this ribosomal RNA (253 nucleotides) under uncultured bacterium. Its description in RNAcentral is "partial 16S ribosomal RNA". It matches the Rfam family "Bacterial small subunit ribosomal RNA", at positions 524 to 776 of the family's 1533-position model. The record is from RNAcentral.
UACGAAGGGGGCUAGCGUUGUUCGGAAUCACUGGGCGUAAAGCGCACGUAGGCGGAUUGUUAAGUCAGGGGUGAAAUCCUGGAGCUCAACUCCAGAACUGCCUUUGAUACUGAGGAUCUUGAGUUCGGGAGAGGUGAGUGGAACUGCGAGUGUAGAGGUGAAAUUCGUAGAUAUUCGCAAGAACACCAGUGGCGAAGGCGGCUCACUGGCCCGAUACUGACGCUGAGGCACGAAAGCGUGGGGAGCAAACAGG